RNAcentral lists this unclassified non-coding RNA (334 nucleotides) under fungal sp. Its description in RNAcentral is "partial internal transcribed spacer region". The stretch from base 1 to 46 matches the Rfam family "Eukaryotic small subunit ribosomal RNA", at positions 1786 to 1831 of the family's 1831-position model. Lineage: Eukaryota; Fungi. The record is from RNAcentral.
AAGUCGUAACAAGGUUUCCGUAGGUGAACCUGCGGAAGGAUCAUUAACACGUAUCCAACGUUAAAACCCCCCCGUGAACCUUCAGUGUGCUCGUACGCUUUGUUAGAAAGUAGCAAUCCCUGGUAAAUCAUCGCCGAACAGUUUUGAUUCAGGGACUUCUGCGAAGAAGUGUGGCCUGAAAGUGUCAAGGGUGGCGCAGUCACGAUCGCUAGAGGCCGACACGGCCGGCGACCGGGUCACCGGGCUCACGCCCCUUAAUAACCUUUGCAUGAAAACGGGCCUGCGCUUAAUUGUGCGGCCAUAAACCGAACAACUGUUAACAAUGGAUAUCUUG